GGCGAUGAUGACAAAACAAACGCUUGUUUCUCUAAACAUUCGCAGUGACCGCUUGAGAUCUUUUGCCUUACCAGGCUGGAGAGCUUAUGCUGGUUAAUUCUUCCUUGGAUGUCAGAUGCC
Phragmites australis (common reed) is the source of this 120-nucleotide small nucleolar RNA. RefSeq annotates it as small nucleolar RNA SNORD14. The transcript has a single exon. The record is from RefSeq and is a predicted model, not a curated record. NCBI's taxonomy places the organism in Eukaryota, Viridiplantae, Streptophyta, Magnoliopsida, Poales, Poaceae.